Molecule: ribosomal RNA, 495 nt
Filed under: uncultured bacterium
Lineage: Bacteria
Description: partial 16S ribosomal RNA
Rfam family: Bacterial small subunit ribosomal RNA
Source: RNAcentral
AUGAACGCUGGCGGCGUGCCUAAUACAUGCAAGUCGAGCGAACAGACGAGGAGCUUGCUCCUCUGACGUUAGCGGCGGACGGGUGAGUAACACGUGGAUAACCUACCUAUAAGACUGGGAUAACUUCGGGAAACCGGAGCUAAUACCGGAUAAUAUAUUGAACCGCAUGGUUCAAUAGUGAAAGACGGUUUUGCUGUCACUUAUAGAUGGAUCCGCGCCGCAUUAGCUAGUUGGUAGGUAACGGCUUACCAAGGCAACGAUGCGUAGCCGACCUGAGAGGGUGAUCGGCCACACUGGAACUGAGACACGGUCCAGACUCCUACGGGAGGCAGCAGUAGGGAAUCUUCCGCAAUGGGCGAAAGCUUGACGGAGCAACGCCGCGUGAGUGAUGAAGGUCUUCGGAUCGUAAAACUCUGUUAUUAGGGAAGAACAAAUGUGUAAGUAACUAUGCACGUCUUGACGGUACCUAAUCAGAAAGCCACGGCUAACUACGUG